RNAcentral lists this ribosomal RNA (585 nucleotides) under uncultured bacterium. RNAcentral describes it as "partial 16S ribosomal RNA". It matches the Rfam family "Bacterial small subunit ribosomal RNA", at positions 355 to 1375 of the family's 1533-position model. The record is from RNAcentral.
UGGGGAAUUUUGGACAAUGGGCGAAAGCCUGAUCCAGCAAUGCCGCGUGUGUGAAGAAGGCCUUCGGGUUGUAAAGCACUUUUGUCCGGAAAGAAAUCCUUGGCUCUAAUACAGUCGGGGGAUGACGGUACCGGAAGAAUAAGCACCGGCUAACUACGUGCCAGCAGCCGCGGUAAUACGUAGGGUGCAAGCGUUAAUCGGAAUUACUGGGCGUAAAGCGUGCGCAGGCGGUUUGCUAAGACCGAUGUGAAAUCCCCGGGCUCAACCUGGGAACUGCAUUGGUGACUGGCAGGCUAGAGUAUGGCAGAGGGGGGUAGAAUUCCACGUGUAGCAGUGAAAUGCGUAGAGAUGUGGAGGAAUACCGAUGGCGAAGGCAGCCCCCUGGGCCAAUACUGACGCUCAUGCACGAAAGCGUGGGGAGCAAAACAGGAUUAGAUACCCUGGUAGUCCACGCCCUAAANGAUGUCAACUAGUUGUUGGGGAUUCAUUUCCUUAGUAACGUAGCUAACGCGUGAAGUUGACCGCCUGGGGAGUACGGUCGCAAGAUUAAAACUCAAAUAAUUGACGGGGUCAUAGCUGUUUCCU